RNAcentral lists this ribosomal RNA (294 nucleotides) under Escherichia coli. Its description in RNAcentral is "partial 23S ribosomal RNA". It matches the Rfam family "Bacterial large subunit ribosomal RNA", at positions 2655 to 2925 of the family's 2925-position model. The record is from RNAcentral. Lineage: Bacteria; Pseudomonadati; Pseudomonadota; Gammaproteobacteria; Enterobacterales; Enterobacteriaceae. RNAcentral also lists the same sequence under 1 other name.
UGGAGAACUGAGGGGGGCUGCUCCUAGUACGAGAGGACCGGAGUGGACGCAUCACUGGUGUUCGGGUUGUCAUGCCAAUGGCACUGCCCGGUAGCUAAAUGCGGAAGAGAUAAGUGCUGAAAGCAUCUAAGCACGAAACUUGCCCCGAGAUGAGUUCUCCCUGACUCCUUGAGAGUCCUGAAGGAACGUUGAAGACGACGACGUUGAUAGGCCGGAUGUGUAAGCGCAGCGAUGCGUUGAGCUAACCGGUACUAAUGAACCGUGAGGCUUAACCUUACAACGCCGAAGGUGUUU